UGUGAGUCAGUGAGCCAGCCUGUGAGAGUCCAUUAAUGUGAAUCAGUUGGCAGAUGUGAGUUAGUGGAUGUGAGUUUGCUGGUGUGAAUCUGUUGGUCAAGGUCGACAGUCAGUGUGUGAGUGUGUGGGUGACAGUCAGUUAGUGUGUGUCGAUUGGUGUGAGUCAGUAGGUGAGGGCAACUAGGUGUGAGUCAGUAGGUGAGAGUAAGUAGGUGUGAGAGUAAGUAGGUGUGAGUCAGUGGGUGAGAGUAAGUAGGUGUGAGUCAGUGGGUGAGAGUAAGUAGGUGAGAGUCAGUAGGUGAGAGUAAGUAGGUGUGAGUCAGUGGGUGAGAGUAAGUAGGUGUGAGUCAGUGGGUGAGAGUAAGUUGGUUUGAGUCAGUGGGUGAGAGUAAGUAUGUGAGAGUCAGUGGGUGAGAGUAAGUAUGUGUGAGUCAGUAGGUGAGAGUAAGUUGGUGUGAGUCAGUAGGUGAGAGUCAGU
This is a long non-coding RNA of Haliotis rubra (blacklip abalone), 478 nucleotides long. RefSeq lists it as uncharacterized. The record is from RefSeq and is a predicted model, not a curated record. NCBI's taxonomy places the organism in Eukaryota, Metazoa, Mollusca, Gastropoda, Lepetellida, Haliotidae. The transcript is spliced from 3 exons.